AAGAGAGUGAGCUGCAAAUCAAAAAUUUAUAUAAGCUAUAUUAUAAAGUCAUACUCAGCAGUCAUACACACCAGUCAUAAGAUGAUAUUCAUUUGUUGAAAUAGCUCAUAGAUUUCAGUGAUAGUUCGAUUUGGUAUUUGCUUAGCCCAUACUACAAAGUGACAUCCUGAUAGAGGAGUGUAUGAAUUCAUUGCCAGAUGAAAAUCAGAAUUGUUUCAAUUUUCAUUUGUACUACAAUAAAACACAUGUACAUUAAGGCCUAUGCGCAGAAGUGUAAUAAUAUUUUGAAAAAUAACAUAAAUGUACUGAAAUUUUUAAAAUUACUAAAAGUUCAAAAAGCUUUUCAAAAUAGAAGUACCUUCAUGACCGAAGCGAGAACUUAUGAAUGACUUGUUUUCACAUUAGCUUCUCUAGUUCUUUCUUCCAACUCUUUCCUCUCCAACUAAUAGUCAAAACUAUGAAUUUGUAUCAUUGUGCUACAAGAUACAAGAUAUUUCUUUCGCUUAAGCCUUCUCUUAUCAAUAGUAAUUAUUCUUGCAGCACAAAUAUAUACUCAAGCACCUAUUAUAUAUUCAAAGUAAACAUAAAAAGCUUAACGGAGGAAAAGCAUUCACCUUGAAACCUCGUUCGUUUACUUUCUUGUAAUUGUAAGCAUAAUAGACAAGCUGACAUUUUCUUACUGUCUCUACAAUGCAACGACUCUUUGGUAGACAAAAUCUUCCAAUUAAGGAAACUUCAAUUGGCCAAACAAAAUUGUCCUGGAAAAUUGUCUUGUUCUUCUCCACAACUAAAUGCCUUCACGAUCAAAUAAAAAUAUUUUCAAUCAAAAUAACGUACACUCCUCGAGAACUCAAAAUUUUCACUAUCACAAUUCAUAGUGAGCAUUCACUGAACUGUCUUCCUUUUCCAAUAAAUUUGUCCAAAAUUCAAAUACCCAUAAACAAAAAAACUAUAUUGGCAUUUUAGUAGUUGUGACAAUCUUAGGUGAUGAGAUAGUGAAAGAAGAAAAUUUUAAUUAAUAUAGCCCUUCCUUUUUCAAACUGCUUUGAAUUUUUUAUUUUUUUAUUAAGUCGAUGUUCUAUCAGAAUCAACCUCUACUACAAUCUAUAGCUUAUAUUUGGUAGAACUAUAGUGCAAGAAAAAGGCUCUGAUUGUCAAAUGUAUCACCAAAAGAUGAGGACUUAAAAUAACAAAAGAAUCACAUGUUCCAAACUAUCAAAUUAUUUAGUACGCCAAACAUUGAUCGAUGCCAGAUCUCUUAAUUUCUUUAGUUGGCAUGGUGAUAAAAUAUAAAUGAAAUUGGUCCUUCAUGAAAGCUGGAAGAGAAGACGACAAAUAGAAGAAGAAGAGAUCCAAAGAAGAAUUAGAAAAGCUGUGUCGGAGAGUAACAAGUUCCAAAUGACGUUUUAAGAUAAUCAAGUAAGGAAAUUUAUCUCUUGUGGUGGCCACCAGUAAUGACAUGUCCCAUGCUCAAACAAACUUUAGAUUAAGCUAGCAUUUGAUCAAAAUCUUAUCUUCAAUUUUAGAGGCAUAGUUAAUAAAAACUUAUUACACAAAACAACAGAAAAAGGGUAUGUCUACUACAUACCAAUUGUUUGCUUGGUACUAUCAUGUGAUGUAUUUACUUCUUCAAAGGUUUGAAAAUCUUUCAAACGUGUCAUUAGAAAGCCGACAAUCUUAACAUUCUUGAAAUUGGAUAAUAAUGUUUGGAAUUCAACUCGGCAAAAUGAAAUUAUCUACUUUGGUGAAAUAUCUUAGCUCAAGCUGGCAAGGGGUUCGUAGAACUAGAAUUUGAUGUGUAUGUUGAGUGACUCUAAAAGAGGCGAGGUUCGCAAAAGGCUAACUACUCCAUACAUACUAUACUUUGUUACAUGCAUUUAUAGAGUUAGACAUUUGCGUCUCAAUUCUGAAAGCAUCACCCCGUCAAGUUUUUGAUAACUUAGAAUGGAGAUGUUGAAGUUAUGAACUAUAUUUGUAUGUAUAGUUCACUGAGCAAAAAAGAAAAAUCUCAAUCUUUUGUAGGAAACUUUCAUGACCUCCACACAUCAACAAGUAUAAGUGUAUAUUAUUUAGUACGUAUUAAAUAAGUUGCUUGUAAAGUUUUAAAAUAUUGUAAGGUCAAGAUCCAAAAUUAUGUAUUUAGAGUUCUUUACACACCCAUGGAUAUAAAAAUCAUUUAUAUGCAACCAUAAGAAACGUAAAAGAGAAAGAGGAGUUAGGAUGAGAAAAUUGUACCAAUAUCUUAAUACAUGAAUCAUCUAUCGAUGUUCAAUUAAGGAAAACUAAUCACCCUGGUGACAGUAUACUUAUGCUAUUAUUAGGUUCUUAAAAGAACAGUAAGAUUUAUUAUAUUUGAAAAAUAUAAACAGAAUUGAAAGAUUCGUUGAGUUGAUUGACCUUACCUUUUGCCUCUUAGGAUUUUUUUCUUCAAAUCUUCAACUCAAUUCUUUGAUAGUCUUGUGCUGAAUUUUGAAGUUGAGAGUAGAAAAUGAAUGCUAGAGAAAUAAAAUAAUUGUCCUCCAAACCUUAACUCCAAUCAUGAAUCAAAUGAGUUAGAGAUCUACAAUAGGCAUAGAAACUCUCAAUGAACUUGAGAAUGAGUCGACAUAAAAAUUAGUUCAAGAACUCAAGUAUUAACACAGUAUACCUCCACAAAUAAGUGCAAAUGAUGAAAAUAGAAAAACUUGACAGGAGAUGGAAACGAAAAGUGAUUUUUUUUGUGGCUGAAAAAAAAAGAACAAUCAGAUUGGAUAUGAACAAAAUAUGAACACACAUAAUUUAAAAUUUGAAAAGAAUUCUAAAACAAGUGAAAUUACAAUCAUAAUAUGUUUUCACUAAGAGCUCAAUUCAACCUGAGCAACCAUGAAAUUCAGCUCCAAAAAUGAAAAAUUCAAAGAGAACUUAAAAAGACGAAAUAAAUAAUAAAAAAAAAAAGGCAGAAAAUGAAAGGAAAAAAUCAAACAGAACGUUUAGUGAACGAAAUUAAGAGGAGAAUACCCGACUUGUAAGAAGUUGAACGUAUGAAGAAAAGUGAGUAUUUUUUGAUAUUCUGAAAGUUCCUGGAAUCAAAGAGACGUCUCUGGUCUCUGUUCAAGUAAGCCAUAGAGAAUGGAUACUUGUAGGUAUAAUACCUCGAUCGUUCUUGGCUUCACUCUCUCGAGAGGGUACUCUUUGGUGAUGUUUGGAUUCAUGAUUGGAGUUAGGAAUUGGAGAAAUUUGUGAAGAAAAAAAAGGAAGUUGUAUGAUUGUCGCUAUGGUAAGACACGAUGGACAUGAAAUACCAAAAAGAGUUUAUAUUUUUGGAGAAGAAAAGGUUUAAGAAGAUCACUGAAACUUUGCCUAGAAAGUGACAGACGAACAAUUUGGAAUUAAAAAAAGAAAAGGUUCGUGGUUUGCUAAAAAAAUCUCAUUCAUAGUUAUCAUUUUACCCUUAAAUAAAAAAUUCCCCCAAAUAACAACAAAUUAGCAAAAUGAUGCACUCUAAUUUAGAUUUUUCAUGGGAAAAAAAAACUUUAUCUCCAUUUAGGUAAAGGAUGUACUCUAAUUUAGAUUUUUCAUGAACAAAAAAUAAACUUUAUCUCCAUUUAAGUUUUCACUUUUCUAAAUCUCAAAUCAAGAAACUAUGGUAAUUGAACAAAUAAAGCAAGAAGAAGCGGCUACAUAUGGAUGUUUCUAUAUUUUUCAUUUUAUUACUAAAUCUUGAAUUGGGCAAACCUGAACUUUGAAUAAAGAAAAAAGUUUUUUGAGAUGAACCGAAGGAAAAAACAAAUGAAGAAUUGGGCAAACAUGAAGUGUAAUCCGUUGUGAAGAGUAAGAGACCAUUUUUGAGAGCUGGGCCUGAGGUUGAGAGUAAGAAAAGAGAGAACAGAGGUAUGG
This 3876-nucleotide long non-coding RNA is filed under the name Solanum tuberosum (potato). RNAcentral describes it as "long non-coding RNA (STUB_LNC001587)". Lineage: Eukaryota; Viridiplantae; Streptophyta; Magnoliopsida; Solanales; Solanaceae. The record is from RNAcentral.